GAGCUUACACCGUGAGCUGCUCCACGAACCGGGCCGGUAAAAGUUCGAAUGUUUAAGAAGAAACGCGAUUUAACCUCAAAGUAGCCAAAAAGAAACACGACGCGAGCGGACCUGUUUGGACCGGGCCAGCCGCGGAACCAGGCCCGAACUCAUCUGGACCAGAAAGUUUCACUUUUCCUGCAGGAAAGUUUCACAAAUAAAAAAAAAACUUUUAAAGAUCAAACAACGUUAAAA
Austrofundulus limnaeus is the source of this 234-nucleotide long non-coding RNA. RefSeq lists it as uncharacterized. The record is from RefSeq and is a predicted model, not a curated record. The transcript has 2 exons. NCBI's taxonomy places the organism in Eukaryota, Metazoa, Chordata, Actinopteri, Cyprinodontiformes, Rivulidae.